RNAcentral lists this ribosomal RNA (500 nucleotides) under uncultured bacterium. RNAcentral's name for it is "partial 16S ribosomal RNA". It matches the Rfam family "Bacterial small subunit ribosomal RNA", at positions 30 to 523 of the family's 1533-position model. The record is from RNAcentral.
AUUGAACGCUGGCGGCAGGCCUAACACAUGCAAGUCGAGCGGAUGACGGGAGCUUGCUCCUUGAUUCAGCGGCGGACGGGUGAGUAAUGCCUAGGAAUCUGCCUGGUAGUGGGGGACAACGUUUCGAAAGGAACGCUAAUACCGCAUACGUCCUACGGGAGAAAGCAGGGGACCUUCGGGCCUUGCGCUAUCAGAUGAGCCUAGGUCGGAUUAGCUAGUAGGUGAGGUAAUGGCUCACCUAGGCGACGAUCCGUAACUGGUCUGAGAGGAUGAUCAGUCACACUGGAACUGAGACACGGUCCAGACUCCUACGGGAGGCAGCAGUGGGGAAUAUUGGACAAUGGGCGAAAGCCUGAUCCGGCCAUGCCGCGUGUGUGAGGAAGGUCUUCGGAUUGCAAAGCACUUUAAGUUGGGAGGAAGGGCAGUAAGUUAAUACCUUGCUGUUUUGACGUUACCGACAGAAUAAGCACCGGCUAACUCUGUGCCAGCCGCCGCAGUAA